Phyllopteryx taeniolatus (common seadragon) is the source of this 827-nucleotide long non-coding RNA. RefSeq lists it as uncharacterized. The record is from RefSeq and is a predicted model, not a curated record. The transcript has 4 exons. NCBI's taxonomy places the organism in Eukaryota, Metazoa, Chordata, Actinopteri, Syngnathiformes, Syngnathidae.
GGUUGCAGAGUGGACCACGCUGCCAGAGCGCUGCAUCGCGGGGGGAAUCAAACUCGCCCCGCUUGAAUCUGCGGCCUGUCAAAGCAGUCAGGCAUGGAGGCAGCGGACGGGUGGCAUCAAAAGAUGCGUCUGUUUAUGUGUGAGGGGGUUUCGAAGCCGCGUUUGGAAGUGAUGGAUUGUUCCAGCAUAACAAACAGAGCGGGAGAGAGCACUCCGGAGCAAGUUGAAGCAGCUCGGUUGCUGGGUGGGGGUAGCGGGGACGAGACUGACUGGUCUCGCAAUAGAUGGAGAGCGAGUGGAUGGAGGCAGGCGGCGGUCCGCUGGGAAACGGACCUCACGGGGGACCCGUGUUCCUCCCACGCGCUGAGCAGAGUGAGUUUGAUGGCGCACUCACACGUUCAUAGAGACUCUUUCAUCUCCUGCGGAAUUCAGAUGAGCAUGCAUCAACGUCACGUGCUCAUCUACGGCUGGGUGGCGGCUGGGUCCGUGCCGUAUUAUUAUAUAUAUCGCCCGAGACCCUAGUGAGGAGAAGUGGCUCAGAAAAUGGAUGGAUGAAUGGAUAUUAUUAUUAUUAUUAUUAUUCAAGAAUGUAUUCGGGUCCUGACUGUUGUUUGUGCCUACGCACCAAACACCAGUUUUGUUUUAAUAUUAAUUUAAUUAUUUCCCCCCCCCAAAAAAGUUUGAAUGCUCUAUUCAAAGGUCUAUUAUUGCUGAUUUUAUUUUUUAUUUUCAAGCACAAGUGAAAAAUUAAAUUUGGGGGUAUUUUGUAUUGUGUGCUUUAUUUGACAGUCAUUGGUCGUGCUGAUACAUAAAAGUGCUUGUCAUGG